GAGGGUAUAGCUCAGUGGUAGAGUGAGUGCUUAGCAUGCACAAGGUCCUGGGUUCAAUCCCCAGUACCUCCA
This is a transfer RNA of Camelus ferus (Wild Bactrian camel), 72 nucleotides long. It matches the Rfam family "tRNA". From Rfam's summary of the family: Transfer RNA (tRNA) molecules are approximately 80 nucleotides in length. Their secondary structure includes four short double-helical elements and three loops (D, anti-codon, and T loops). The record is from Rfam. Lineage: Eukaryota; Metazoa; Chordata; Mammalia; Artiodactyla; Camelidae.